UACGGAGGGUGCAAGCGUUGUUCGGAAUUAUUGGGCGUAAAGCGCACGUAGGCGGCUUGGUAUGUCGGGUGUGAAAUCCCCGGGCUCAACCUGGGAACUGCAUCCGAAACUGCCUUGCUAGAGUAUGGGAGAGGGAAGUGGAAUUUCCGGUGUAGCGGUGAAAUGCGUAGAUAUCGGAAGGAACAUCAGUGGCGAAGGCGGGUCUCUGGGCCGAUACUGACGCUGAGGAGCGAAAGCGUGGGGAGCGAACAGG
RNAcentral lists this ribosomal RNA (253 nucleotides) under uncultured bacterium. Its description in RNAcentral is "partial 16S ribosomal RNA". It matches the Rfam family "Bacterial small subunit ribosomal RNA", at positions 524 to 776 of the family's 1533-position model. The record is from RNAcentral.